This 1930-nucleotide long non-coding RNA is filed under the name Strongylocentrotus purpuratus (purple sea urchin). RNAcentral's name for it is "uncharacterized LOC115919723". Lineage: Eukaryota; Metazoa; Echinodermata; Echinoidea; Camarodonta; Strongylocentrotidae. The record is from RNAcentral.
GCAUUACACGACAGAUGUCCUCAUGUGACCGUAUCAUGUCGUUUAAUCACUCUGGAGAGCGGUGAGACUGUACAGUUCGUCCCGAAACUCGUGCAACCCGAUCAAAAGUGGUCAAAAUCCGACCUCCCAGCAGGCCACCAGUUUCCUGAUGAUGUCCGGCGUUAUUAUUGCACAGAACCAGCCUGCCGCUCUAACCCUUGUUUUAAUGGAGGCAAUUGCGAGGAGACGGACACAGGAUUUACUUGUCUCUGAUUAGAUGGCUACCGUGGUAAAAGAUGUGCAGAAAGUAAGUGAGACAAAGGGAGGUGCAUGUUGUUGUUUUUUGUAUGAGGGUAGGCCGGGGGACCCUUUCACACUAUACUACUUAUAAAUACUACUACUACUUAUAAUAAUGAAUUUAUCUAGCGCAGUUUGUAUGAGUGGAGAAUGUAUUCCAUAAUGUGCGGAAUAGUUAUUUAAUCCGAUGACCGGGGUAAUAGUAAUUGUACGCGCUUUCGUACGUUAUAUAUGGUAAAGCGCUUUAUAAGAACCAGUUAAUAUCAUAAAUGUUAUUAUUGAUUGACAUGCCUUAUACAAAUAAAAGCAUGUGUCCAAUUAUAAAGCAAAGGACAUUAGUACUUGUUUUCCGUGUGUCUUAAUGUUAAUAUGCAACUGCUGACAGCUAUUCGAAUGUUAUACUAGCCCAGUAUACUGAAAGGACUGCAGUUGACUAAUAAUUAUUCCACUAUGCUGAAGAUACGGCAGUAGUUGAUUGUUGGUUAUGUGGAAAGUACUGUAAUAGUAGUAGCUUGAUGUAAUUAAUAAUAAUAAUAAUAAUAAUAAUAAUAAUAAUAAUAAUAUAGAGUAUUUGUAAUGCGCCAACUCCACAUGACUAAUGUGUUCGAGGCGCAUGGAGAAUUAGCAUACACAAGUGUAUUUAAAAUGAUGUUAAUUCAUCAAUGUUUUAUAACUGUUUGUAUUUCAUAAACUCAAUAAGUUGGGCUUUAUUUAAUAAUUGGUAUUACUUAUUCUAUAUAAUUAAAAGAAUUAAACUAACAGGAGAGGAAAAAGGAAAGGAACUAUUAAAAUGGUAUAUAUGAGGUUGAGACAAUGACUUUUGAUUUCAUAACUCAGAAAUGUGGUUCUGUUAGUUAUAUGGACUUGGUAAUUGAACAUUUCAUCAGUUUGUGUAGAAACGUUUAGAGCCAAAGUGUAAAGCGUAGUAAUUUUGUUGGAGUUGGCAUUUCCAGUUAAACACAAGUUUAACUAGAAAAUGCUAUGUUUUAUAAUUGAACAUUUUAUAUUGACAUUUCGGGAAUUUCACCCAAACAUGAAUGUAUAAAUUAGUAUGGUACGUUUGAUGGACAUUAAAGAGUUGAAAAUGAUUGCAUGAGCAAAAUUCAAUUAAUGGUUUUAAAAAAUUGGUAGAUGUAAGAGGUGUAGCGCCACCUCUUGUCGGAGACGGGAAGGGAUACAUUUAUUCAGACACAGAUGAUGUAUGGUGUGUUGAAAUUUAAUUGCUAUUUUAUCUUUUUUAUCAGAUGUGAAUUGAACUAAAUUAAAUUAAACUAAAUCAUCUUUAUUGCCUGAGGUGGUUUCAGUUCAAGAUACUGCAUAGAAUUCGUUAUAUGAAAGAUGCUUUGCUAAGAUUUAAAUUAGUGUAAAGAUAACCUAAUACCCCCUAAUACAUUCUGUAAUAACAGUGAAGAAACAAUUCUACAUAUAUUUUGUUACUUUAUUUAUUCAAACGAAAUAUGAUCAAAACUUGAGCAUUGACUGUUCCGUAAUAAUGUACAUAUUAAGUUUAAAAUGAAAAUAAAUUGUUUGGGUUUAAUGGAAGUAACUACGGUGCCCUCAACUGCAUUAUAAUUAUAGUAAAGAAAGAAACUUUUGCAGCCAAAUGCAAACAGUUAUUUGCCAGUUUUUUAACAUAUAAUAUUAGCGAUAAAGU